CCUGGAGAAACCUACCCUGCCCACUCGUGGGGCAGUAGUGAGCCUGGGUGUGAAUUGAUGAAUGUAAAUAUAAAAUCUCCCCAACAGGCUCGUGUGUCGAAUGCUUGGUCUCCUGCUAGUGGCCCUGUUUUGGGAGGUCAUGAAACCUUAGGAAGGAGGAAGGAGGUCCCAGGCAGUGUGUCCUUGAAGGUUGUACCUUGUCUUUUGUCUCAAACUUCUGAUCUUAUGAGGUAAAGACUCUGACCAUCAUGAUGUUCUGCCCAAGCACGAGGUCGAGCUAGCGUAACCUGAAUGAACACUCUGAAACCGUGAACGAAAGUAAAUUCUUCCACCCUUACGCCAAUUGUCUUAGGAGUUUGUUCACAACAACUAAAUCAUCACACAGGUGGUGCCACACUUGAGAGCAGGAGCGACCAUUUGGGAAGAGCUGCUCCGCACUGGGCAGGAGGCGGCAGCUCCCAGUAAAGCCUGAGCUGUGCACUGACUCCUGAGGGCCCUGCAGAAAGCGGCAUGGCCCAGAGUUUCCUACCCAAGAACCGGAAGGACUUCAGACCCUCCUUAGUCUCUCAGUACUGGCUUCUUGGCUCAAGUGAGGACACCCAUCAACUUAAAGACCCUGGGAACUCCGCAUGAAUGUUGCCAUGAAGCCAUCCUUUGCUGCCACGAGCCUGCAGUUGUGGAAGCAAAUUUUGAGACGUGAAAGCCCGCAGCCAGGAUCCCUCAGCUAAGAGGACGAGGUUGCACUGAUGCUCUGGCCUUCAAACUCUGGUGCCUUUUGCUUCCCCUCCAACCAGACACCAGCUGACCAGUGGAGUUUCACAUCAGCAUAACCAGGAGCCAUUUCCAGAGUCCCAAGCCCUUAGCGUCCUCCACAUGCACGGCGUUCCUGACUCUGUGGGCCUCCAGAGACGUGUCCCCCAGGUCAGAGACACAGUUUCACACACAGAGAUUCUGAGAAAUGGGUCUUCCGGUUUUCGCUUCCCCCAGAGUUCACCUGCCGCUGCUGACCUUGACAUUAACCACGGCAAACACAGGGGACAGGAAGUCCCUGUUUGUUUAUGUCAGUCUCUUCCCUUUGACCUGUACGUCUGCUCUACUUAGACGGCUUCUCGUGAAGGUCCGCACCUUUCACACA
Molecule: non-coding RNA, 1135 nt
Organism: Peromyscus maniculatus bairdii (prairie deer mouse)
Lineage: Eukaryota; Metazoa; Chordata; Mammalia; Rodentia; Cricetidae
Source: RefSeq, a predicted model, not a curated record